CGGCCGCGUCGACGAUGGCCCCGCGGUGCAUUAGCUAGUUGGUAAGGUAACGGCUUACCAAGGCAAUGAUGCAUAGCCGAGUUGAGAGACUGAUCGGCCACAUUGGGACUGAGACACGGCCCAAACUCCUACGGGAGGCAGCAGUAGGGAAUCUUCCACAAUGGACGCAAGUCUGAUGGAGCAACGCCGCGUGAGUGAAGAAGGUUUUCGGAUCGUAAAGCUCUGUUGUUGGUGAAGAAGGAUAGAGGUAGUAACUGGCCUUUAUUUGACGGUAAUCAACCAGAAAGUCACGGCUAACUACGUGCCAGCAGCCGCGGUAAUACGUAGGUGGCAAGCGUUGUCCGGAAUUAUUGGGCGUAAAGCGCGCGUAGGCGGUAAAUAAGUCUGAUGUGAAAGCCCCCGGCUCAACCGGGGAGGUCAUUGGAAACUGUUUACUGAGUACAGAAGAGGAGAGUGGAAUUCCAUGUGUAGCGGUGAAAUGCGCAGAGAUAUGGAGGAACACCAGUGGCGAAGGCGGCUCUCUGGUCUGUUACCG
This 535-nucleotide ribosomal RNA is filed under the name uncultured bacterium. RNAcentral describes it as "bacterial SSU rRNA". It matches the Rfam family "Bacterial small subunit ribosomal RNA", at positions 212 to 742 of the family's 1533-position model. The record is from RNAcentral.